This 630-nucleotide ribosomal RNA is filed under the name uncultured archaeon. RNAcentral's name for it is "bacterial SSU rRNA". It matches the Rfam family "Archaeal small subunit ribosomal RNA", at positions 317 to 947 of the family's 1478-position model. The record is from RNAcentral.
CAGGCCCUACGGGGUGCAGCAGGCGCGAAAACUUUACAAUGCUGGGAACAGCGAUAAGGGAACCUCGAGUGCCAGGUUACAAAUCUGGCUGUCGUGAUGCCUAAAAAGCAUUAUAUAGCAAGGGCCGGGCAAGACCGGUGCCAGCCGCCGCGGUAACACCGGCGGCUCGAGUGGUAACCGUUAUUAUUGGGUCUAAAGGGUCUGUAGCCGGCCGGAUAAGUCUCUUGGGAAAUCUGGCAGCUCAACUGUCAGGCUUUCAGGGGAUACUGUCUGGCUCGAGGCCGGGAGAGGUGAGAGGUACUUCAGGGGUAGGGGUGAAAUCUUGUAAUCCUUGAAGGACCACCAGUGGCGAAGGCGUCUCACCAGAACGGACCUGACGGCAAGGGACGAAAGCUAGGGGCACGAACCGGAUUAGAUACCCGGGUAGUCCUAGCCGUAAACGAUACUCGCUAGGUGUCGGCCACGGUGCGACCGUUGUCGGUGCCGUAGGGAAGCCGUGAAGCGAGCCACCUGGGAAGUACGGCCGCAAGGCUGAAACUUAAAGGAAUUGGCGGGGGAGCACAACAACGGGUGGAGCCUGCGGUUUAAUUGGACUCAACGCCGGACAACUCACCGGGGACGACAGCAAUA